RNAcentral lists this ribosomal RNA (397 nucleotides) under uncultured bacterium. RNAcentral describes it as "partial 16S ribosomal RNA". It matches the Rfam family "Bacterial small subunit ribosomal RNA", at positions 360 to 773 of the family's 1533-position model. The record is from RNAcentral.
AAUCUUGCGCAAUGGGCGAAAGCCUGACGCAGCAACGCCGCAUGGGAGAAGAAGGCCUUCGGGUUGUAAACCCCUUUCAGGAGGGAAGAAAAUGACGGUACCUCCAGAAGAAGCACCGGCCAACUACGUGCCAGCAGCCGCGGUAAUACGUAGGGUGCGAGCGUUAUCCGGAAUCAUUGGGCGUAAAGAGCUCGUAGGCGGUUCAACAAGUCGGCUGUGAAAGUCCGGGGCUCAACCCCGGAAUUGCAGUCGAUACUGUUGUGACUUGAGUCCGGUAGAGGAGAAUGGAAUUCCCGGUGUAGCGGUGGAAUGCGCAGAUAUCGGGAGGAACACCAGUAGCGAAGGCGGUUCUCUGGGCCGGCACUGACGCUGAGGAGCGAAAGCGUGGGGAGCAAAC